This 718-nucleotide ribosomal RNA is filed under the name Burkholderia stagnalis. Its description in RNAcentral is "partial 23S ribosomal RNA". It matches the Rfam family "Bacterial large subunit ribosomal RNA", at positions 1442 to 2144 of the family's 2925-position model. Lineage: Bacteria; Pseudomonadati; Pseudomonadota; Betaproteobacteria; Burkholderiales; Burkholderiaceae. The record is from RNAcentral.
UACUUCUGUGUAAUGCGAUGAGAGGACGGAGUAAGUUAAGUCAGCCUGGCGUUGGUUGUCCAGGUGAAAGGAUGUAGGCAUGUAUCUUAGGCAAAUCCGGGGUACUCUAUGCUGAGAUCUGAUAGCAAGCUGUACUUGUACAGUGAAGUGGCUGAUACCAUGCUUCCAGGAAAAGUCUCUAAGCUUCAGUUACACAGGAAUCGUACCCGAAACCGACACAGGUGGUCAGGUCGAGUAGACCAAAGCGCUUGAGAGAACUCUGCUGAAGGAACUAGGCAAAAUGGUACCGUAACUUCGGGAGAAGGUACGCUGCUGACGGUGAUGGGACUUGCUCCCUGAGCUGUUGGCAGCCACAGAAACCAGGCCCCUGCAACUGUUUAUUAAAAACAUAGCACUCUGCAAACACGAAAGUGGACGUAUAGGGUGUGAUGCCUGCCCGGUGCUGGAAGGUUAAUUGAUGGGGUUAGCGUAAGCGAAGCUCUUGAUCGAAGCCCCAGUAAACGGCGGCCGUAACUAUAACGGUCCUAAGGUAGCGAAAUUCCUUGUCGGGUAAGUUCCGACCUGCACGAAUGGCAUAAUGAUGGGGGCGCUGUCUCCAGCAGAGACUCAGUGAAAUCGAAUUCGCCGUGAAGAUGCGGUGUACCCGCGGCUAGACGGAAAGACCCCGUGAACCUUUACUGCAGCUUGACAUUGAACUUUGAUCUUACUUGUGUAGGAU